AGUGAACGCUGGCGGCAGGCCUAAUACAUGCAAGUCGAACGGCAGCACAGUGGAGCUUGCUCCAUGGGUGGCGAGUGGCGGACGGGUGAGGAAUACAUGGGAAUCUGCCCAGUCGUGGGGAUAACGUAUGGAAACGUACGCUAAUACCGCAUGCGCCCUUCGGGGGAAAGUCGGGGACCGCAAGGCCUGACGCGAUUGGAUGAGCCCAUGUUCGAUUAGCUAGUUGGCGGGGUAACGGCCCACCAAGGCGACGAUCGAUAGCUGGUCUGAGAGGAUGAUCAGCCACACUGGAACUGAGACACGGUCCAGACUCCUACGGGAGGCAGCAGUAGGGAAUAUUGGACAAUGGGCGCAAGACCUGAUCCAGCCAUGCCGCGUGAGUGAAGAAGGCCCUCGGGUUGUAAAGCUCUUUGUUGGGAAGAAAAGCGAGUUGGUUAAAUACCCG
This 445-nucleotide ribosomal RNA is filed under the name uncultured bacterium. RNAcentral's name for it is "bacterial SSU rRNA". It matches the Rfam family "Bacterial small subunit ribosomal RNA", at positions 29 to 469 of the family's 1533-position model. The record is from RNAcentral.